UACAGAGGUCCAAAGAGUUGAGCGGAUUCAUUGGGCGUAAAGGGUGCGUAGGCGGCGCGGUAAGUCGGGUGUGAAAUCUCGGAGCUUAACUCCGAAACUGCAUUCGAUACUGCCGUGCUUGAGGACUGGAGAGGAGACUGGAAUUUACGGUGUGGCGGUGAAAUGCGUAGAUAUCGGAAGGAAGACCAGUGGCGAAGGCGGGUCUCUGGACAGUUCCUGACGCUGAGGCACGAAGGCGAGGGGAGCAAACGGG
Molecule: ribosomal RNA, 253 nt
Filed under: uncultured bacterium
Lineage: Bacteria
Description: partial 16S ribosomal RNA
Rfam family: Bacterial small subunit ribosomal RNA
Source: RNAcentral